GACGAACGCUGGCGGCGUGCUUAACACAUGCAAGUCGAACGGAAAGGCCCUGCUUUUGUGGGGCGCUCGAGUGGCGAACGGGUGAGUAACACGUGAGUAACCUGCCCUUGACUUUGGGAUAACUUCAGGAAACUGGGGCUAAUACCGGAUAGGAGCUCCUGCUGCAUGGUGGGGGUUGGAAAGUUUCGGCGGUUGGGGAUGGACUCGCGGCUUAUCAGCGUGUUGGUGGGGUAGUGGCUUACCAAGGCUUUGGCCGAUUGCCGGCCUGUGAGGGUGACCGGCGACAUUGGGACUGAGGUACGGCCCAGACUCCUACGGGAGGCAGCAGUGGGGAAUAUUGCACAAUGGGCGGAAGCCUAAUGCAGCAACGCCGCGUGCGGGAUGACGGCCUUCGGGUUGUAAACCGCUUUCGCCUGUGACGAAGCGUGAGUGACGGUAAUGUGUAAAGAAGCACCGGCUAACUACGUG
Molecule: ribosomal RNA, 468 nt
Filed under: uncultured bacterium
Lineage: Bacteria
Description: partial 16S ribosomal RNA
Rfam family: Bacterial small subunit ribosomal RNA
Source: RNAcentral